GUGCUCGCUUUGGCAGCCCAUAUAUUAGAACUGGAACAACACAGGGAAGAUUAGCAGGGCCCUCUUGUGUGAGGAGGACAUACAAAUUUUUGAAGUGUUCCAUAUAAUA
Molecule: small nuclear RNA, 109 nt
Organism: Mustela putorius furo (domestic ferret)
Lineage: Eukaryota; Metazoa; Chordata; Mammalia; Carnivora; Mustelidae
Source: Ensembl